GACGAACGCUGGCGGCGUGCUCAACACAUGCAAGUCGAACGGUAAGGCCCUUCGGGGUACACGAGUGGCGAACGGGUGAGUAACACGUGGGUGAUCUGCCCUGCACUUCGGGAUAAGCCUGGGAAACUGGGUCUAAUACCGGAUAGGACUCCUGGCUUCAUGGUUGGGGGUGGAAAGCUUUUGCGGUGUGGGAUGGGCCCGCGGCCUAUCAGCUUGUUGGUGGGGUAAUGGCCUACCAAGGCGACGACGGGUAGCCGGCCUGAGAGGGUGACCGGUCACACUGGGACUGAGAUACGGCCCAGACUCCUACGGGAGGCAGCAGUGGGGAAUAUUGCACAAUGGGCGCAAGCCUGAUGCAGCGACGCCGCGUGAGGGAUGACGGCCUUCGGGUUGUAAACCUCUUUCAGCCAUGACGAAGCGCAAGUGACGGUAGUAGCAGAAGAAGGACCGGCCAACUACGUGCCAGCAGCCGCGGUAA
Molecule: ribosomal RNA, 478 nt
Filed under: uncultured bacterium
Lineage: Bacteria
Description: partial 16S ribosomal RNA
Rfam family: Bacterial small subunit ribosomal RNA
Source: RNAcentral